This 380-nucleotide ribosomal RNA is filed under the name uncultured eukaryote. RNAcentral's name for it is "partial 18S ribosomal RNA". It matches the Rfam family "Eukaryotic small subunit ribosomal RNA", at positions 592 to 976 of the family's 1831-position model. The record is from RNAcentral.
CAAUAGCGUAUAUUAAAGUUGUUGCGGUUAAAAAGCUCGUAGUUGGAUUUCUGCUGAGAACGACCGGUCCGCCCUUUGGGUGUGUAUCUGGCUCUUUCUUGGCAUCUUCUUGGUGAACGUUGCUGCACUUGACUGUGUGGAGCGCUACCCAGGACUUUUACUUUGAGGAAAUUAGAGUGUUUCAAGCAGGCAUACGCCUUGAAUACAUUAGCAUGGAAUAAUAAGAUAGGACCUCGGUUCUAUUUUGUUGGUUUCUAGAGCUGAGGUAAUGAUUAAUAGGGAUAGUUGGGGGCAUUCGUAUUUAACUGUCAGAGGUGAAAUUCUUGGAUUUGUUAAAGACGGACUACUGCGAAANCANNNGCGAAGGAUGUUUUCAUNGA